GGGCCAGUGGCGCACAGGAUAUCGCACCUGACUACGGAUCAGGAGACUCCAGGUUCGAAUCUGGCUGGCUCG
Molecule: transfer RNA, 72 nt
Filed under: Trichonephila clavipes
Lineage: Eukaryota; Metazoa; Arthropoda; Arachnida; Araneae; Nephilidae
Rfam family: tRNA
About the family: Transfer RNA (tRNA) molecules are approximately 80 nucleotides in length. Their secondary structure includes four short double-helical elements and three loops (D, anti-codon, and T loops).
Source: Rfam by way of RNAcentral